Molecule: long non-coding RNA, 284 nt
Organism: Perognathus longimembris pacificus (Pacific pocket mouse)
Lineage: Eukaryota; Metazoa; Chordata; Mammalia; Rodentia; Heteromyidae
Exons: 3
Source: RefSeq, a predicted model, not a curated record
GGGGAUUUAAACCAAGAAUAGAAAAAGGGAGGAGAGGCUACAUAGGGUAAACCUUAUUGGGAAGAUUUGUGUAUACCCUUAGGUACUAGCAAAUGGCCUUUGAUCAAAGCAGGCUAACCGGACAUGGUUUUCAAGCCCUGAACUUGGGCUUAUAGCUGGAGGCUUCCUUACAGGACAAGACUCCCACACAUGGAGAUCCAAGAUGGUAGAAUCUGGGCAAAGUGUGGGAAUGAUGACAGAAGGAUGAAAGAUGUUGGGAUCUACAGGUUGUUUUUAUUUAUUUU